GCGCCUCGACGCACCUUCGAACGAAAAGCACCCCCUCCUCCUCCACCUCCCUCUCCCGUCCCCCUCUCUUCUCUCCACAUCACUGAGGACACGUGAAUGGCAGGGCGUUCGGGCUGGUGCGAGAGUUCUAUGCGGCGCUUAAGCGCAUUCGGCGGCCUUACUACCAUACCGGCACGACCCUUCCUGGGCAGUCGAUGCAGCGCUGUAGUCGCGCGUGGAAAAAGGCCGCUGAAGCUGCCUUCCGGCCACACUUACACCGGGAAGAUUGCCGCAUAUGCAGCGCUGCAACGCCGGCGCUAAAGGACGCGACGUAUGUUGGCUCGGUGACCUCAAGUUGCACCAUUAUCCCGGGCCACAAAGUUGGGUCGUCGGCUUCAGGCUCCCAAAGGCCGCAGACCCCGACCCGCCAAGACGCCUCCUGGCUUGCUGGCAACGCGCCUUCCUCAGUGUUUGAAGUACGGCGUGCUGCGCUGCUAGAAUGGUUGCACCGAUUCUCGGAGCGAGAGCAAAAAGGGGGUGUGCCUGGCGUGGAGGUCCCUCUUUCGGAGGAAAAGCCAGAAGAGCUCGACAGCAGCGUCGACCUCGACACUGCAUACACGGCGUACUUGCGAUGCGAAGAUGCCACUGCACAAGAAGCCCUCUUCGCCCGUUUGGUGGAUUGGGUGGACGCUCAAUGCGCCCAGCCUGUCGUACCAUCUGGUGCGUCGCCGACGUCGACUUCCGCUGCGCCGGCUAACUCUGCGGCGGCGGCAGCGGAAGACAGGCAGUGGGGUGGUGUUCGCAUCCCACAGUGCUUGGCGGUUCCUCGUGUGGCGGCAGCUAUGACGUCGAAGGAGCGGAAAGCGACUGCGACGCUCAUGGGCGAGAAGACCGACGGCGUCCGCGCUGCGAACGACUUCGAGACGUACGUGCGGCGGCGCUUCCCCGACAAUGCUGCCUUUAUCACCAAGCAACUGGCCUUUCAAAAAGCGCUGCUAGCGGCGCAGGAGGUUCUGACUGCGCAAAAGAUUCGGUUCUUCCUCGCCUGUGGCACGGCCCUGGGUGCGCGGCGUGACGGCUGCUUUAUCCCGUAUGAUGAGGACAUUGACCUUGGCAUCCUCUACGCCGAUAUCGCGGUGCCUGUAACGGAGGGCGAUGAUCGGCCAGUGCCCAAUCUCUCUUUUCCCUCUGCCGCCCCAGCCGGCUUGAGCUAUGCGCAGAUGCGUGUGUACCGACUCCUUCACGCGCUGGCAUCAACGCGCGCGUUCGUGGUUUUUGACAUUUGCGGCGCCGUUGAGAAAGGAUUGGAGCUGCGCGUGCUGCACCUGGCCACCAGCGCUCGUAUCGACAUCAAUCUCUACUACCCACCUCUGUGCACCACCGACUGCGGCGGAGACGGUGACGCCGGCGACGAUGCGCUAGUGCGCGAGAAGGGCCCUUUUGUGUGGGCCGCCUCUUUUUACGAGGCAGCCGGUGCGCGCAAGCACCGCAUGUAUCGCUAUCGGCACAAGCCCUUCGCCGCAGAGCUCGAGGAACUUCCGUUUUGUGCUAAGACGGCGUCUGUAUGCAGGGGGUUUUUGGUGCCCCCAGAGCGCUAUCUUGUGGAGAACUACGGAGAGGACUGGCGGACACCGAAACAGUACUCGUACACAGAGGGCCUUGCGGGGGAGUUCAAGAACAUCGUGAAGGAGUAGCGUCGCCCGCCACGCGGGGUGGCAUGGUACACUUUGUGUGCUUGCUUCUUUCGACUAAGCGUGACUCUUGUGUCGGGUACGUGCGUAUGUGCCUAUUGGAGAGUUCGUUGGCGCCGGUGGUUUUCCGUGGUUUGCGCCAUGCGAUGCCUUUUCUCGCAAC
RNAcentral lists this unclassified non-coding RNA (1833 nucleotides) under Leishmania donovani. RNAcentral's name for it is "gene:LdHU3.32.1780(CDS-product:LicD_family_putati ve)". Lineage: Eukaryota; Euglenozoa; Kinetoplastea; Trypanosomatida; Trypanosomatidae. The record is from RNAcentral.